This 297-nucleotide long non-coding RNA is filed under the name Hordeum vulgare. Its description in RNAcentral is "long non-coding RNA (HVUL_LNC020823)". Lineage: Eukaryota; Viridiplantae; Streptophyta; Magnoliopsida; Poales; Poaceae. The record is from RNAcentral.
GAACAAGGAAAGGAUUGCUAGCCGAUCGCGUUGCCAAAGAUGGCGAGGCACACCGGUGACAGGACACCGUGGCCGUGGCGUCACGCGGCGCGGGCCGAAUAAAUGUGGCGCCGCCGGCUGAGCUUGAAAUGGAAAAAAGGCGUUUCUUGGCGGCACUCUCUCGUCGCCGUCGUCGGCGCCACGCGGCGCGCGAGCCGUGCGUUUUUGUCAACGGCCAUCAGCUCCGGAUUGCAUGGACACUGCAGCAGCGUCGGUGGACGGUGCGAUGCCGGCCGCCUGGCGAGCGCAGUGACGACG